RNAcentral lists this ribosomal RNA (465 nucleotides) under uncultured bacterium. Its description in RNAcentral is "partial 16S ribosomal RNA". It matches the Rfam family "Bacterial small subunit ribosomal RNA", at positions 338 to 795 of the family's 1533-position model. The record is from RNAcentral.
CCUACGGGUGGCAGCAGUAGGGAAUCUUCCACAAUGGGCGAAAGCCUGAUGGAGCAACGCCGCGUGGGUGAAGAAGGUCUUCGGAUCGUAAAACCCUGUUGUUAGAGAAGAAAGUGCGUGAGAGUAACUGUUCACGUUUCGACGGUAUCUAACCAGAAAGCCACGGCUAACUACGUGCCAGCCGCCGCGGUAAUACGUAGGUGGCAAGCUUUAUCCGGAUUUAUUGGGCGUGAAGGGAACGCAGGCGGUCUUUUAAGUCUGAUGUGAAAGCCUUCGGCUUAACCGGAGUAGUGCAUUGGAAACUGGGAGACGUGAGUGCAGAAGAGGAGAGUGGAACUCGAUGUGUAGCGGUGAAAUGCGUAGAUAUAUGGAAGAACACCAGUGGCGAAAGCGGCUCUCUGGUCUGUAACUGACGCUGAGGUUCGAAAGCGUGGGUAGCAAACAGGAUUAGAUACCCCUGUAGUC